Molecule: long non-coding RNA, 541 nt
Filed under: Anas platyrhynchos (mallard)
Lineage: Eukaryota; Metazoa; Chordata; Aves; Anseriformes; Anatidae
Description: lncRNA (ENSAPLG00020018087.1)
Source: RNAcentral
GUAGUGACAUGUUCAUUUUGUUCAUUUUUAUUUUGUGUGGAAAAGAGAGAUUAGAAAUGUGAUCAUGUCAGCCUUAAAAAAAAAAAAAAAAUGUUUAAUUUGUAGAUCACAACUUCUCCCAAGUACAUGGCUCCAUAAGGCUGGGAUUCCAGAAGGGAUGCUUUCCCCUCCCUGCUGCCAACGUAUGUGCCCUGUGUGCUCUCAGCAAAUGUUCCCCAUCAGCUCUGGACAGCAAAUGAAAGUGGGAAGAAGUUGGAGGUUUUCCCUAAAAGAAGGGAAGUCAUGAUACAUUGUUCAUCAUCGAGUAAAUCAAGCACCUGAGAUGUCACAUAGGUGACACGAUGCCUACACUACACAACAGUACUCUUCCCUGCCCUCCAUCCCCCAGCAAAAGGGCUACCUAUAGAAGCUGCAUGGUACUGACCUGGUCGUUAUGGGUAUAACCAUACACACAUAAGUGCAAUGGGGACAACAAAGGCAAUAAGGGCAAAAAACAGAUUGAAGCGAUGGCCUGGAAAUUUGCUUACAGAAAGAAAAGGCA